Molecule: ribosomal RNA, 377 nt
Filed under: uncultured Pseudomonas sp.
Lineage: Bacteria; Pseudomonadati; Pseudomonadota; Gammaproteobacteria; Pseudomonadales; Pseudomonadaceae
Description: bacterial SSU rRNA
Rfam family: Bacterial small subunit ribosomal RNA
Source: RNAcentral
AGAUUUUGUCCUUCGGGUACAAUUGAGACAGGUGGUGCAUGGUUGUCGUCAGCUCGUGUCGUGAGAUGUUGGGUUAAGUCCGUAACGAGCGCAACCCUUGUCCUUAGUUACCAGCACGUUAUGGUGGGCACUCUAAGGAGACUGCCGGUGACAAACCGGAGGAAGGUGGGGGAUGACGUCAAGUCAUCAUGGCCCUUACGGCCUGGGCUACACACGUGCUACAAUGGUCGGUACAAAGGGUUGCCAAGCCGCGAGGUGGAGCUAAUCCCAUAAAACCGAAUCGUAGUCCGGAUCGCAGUCUGCAACUCGACUGCGUGAAGUCGGAAUCGCUAGUAAUCGUGAAUCAGAAUGUCACGGUGAAUACGUUCCCGGGCCUU